GUUAGCUGCUAAUGUGGCCAAUGCUCUACCAGAGAAUGGUACCCUGCAUAAGUUGGCCGAGGAGGUUGAGUACAUUGCUGAGAUAGUGGAUAAGGAUGCACAGAAGGUUGAAAUCAUCAUAAAGAAGAUUGAAGAUGUCAGCAAUCGGAUAGACGCUGCUGUGGAGCCUGUCAUUGAAGAGCUCGAAAAGGAAUUCAAACCAUAGCCAAGCAUCUGGUGGAUCAGAA
This 227-nucleotide unclassified non-coding RNA is filed under the name Hevea brasiliensis (rubber tree). Lineage: Eukaryota; Viridiplantae; Streptophyta; Magnoliopsida; Malpighiales; Euphorbiaceae. The record is from RNAcentral.